CGGUGUUUAACUGGCGUGAUGUGGGACGUCCUACCGGUGGGCUUAGCCUCGCGAGGGGCGGCCCAACUAAUAUCCCGUCGCGGUGCUCUUUACUGAGUGUCGAGUCGGGCCGGUACGUUUACUUUGGACAAAUUAGAGUGCUUAAAGCAGGCUAUCCUCGCCUGAAUACUGCGUGCAUGGAAUAAUGGAAUAGGACCUCGGUUCUAUUUUGUUGGUUUUCGGAACCCCGAGGUAAUGAUUAAUAGGGACAGAUGGGGGCAUUCGUAUUGCGACGUUAGAGGUGAAAUUCUUGGAUCGUCGCAAGACGGACAGAAGCGAAAGCAUUUGCCAAAAAUGUUUUCAUUAAUCAAGAACGAAAGUUAGAGGUUCGAAGGCGAUCAGAUACCGCCCUAGUUCUAACCAUAAACGAUGCCAGCUAGCGAUCCGCCGAAGUUCCUCCGAUGACUCGGCGGGCAGCUUCCGGGAAACCAAAGCUUUUGGGUUCCGGGGGAAGUAUGGUUGCAAAGCUGAAACUUAAAGGAAUUGACGGAAGGGCACCACCAGGAGUGGAGCCUGCGGCUUAAUUUGACUCAACACGGGAAACCUCACCAGGCCCAGACACCGGAAGGAUUGACAGAUUGAUAGCUCUUUCUUGAUUCGGUGGGUGGUGGUGCAUGGCCGUUCUUAGUUGGUGGAGCGAUUUGUCUGGUUAAUUCCGAUAACGAACGAGACUCUAGCCUGCUAAAUAGGCGUACCUUAUGGUAUCGCGAAGGCCCCCGGCUUCGGCCGGUGGGUUUUUACUACCAACGUACAAACAAAUCUUCUUAGAGGGACAGGCGG
Molecule: ribosomal RNA, 819 nt
Filed under: uncultured eukaryote
Lineage: Eukaryota
Description: SSU rRNA
Rfam family: Eukaryotic small subunit ribosomal RNA
Source: RNAcentral